UCUCAGUUCGGAUUGAAGUCUGUAACUCGACUUUAUGAAGUUGGAAUCGCUAGUAAUCGCGCAUCAGCAAUGGCGCGGUGAAUACGUUCUCGGGUCUUGUACACACCGCCCGUCAAGCCAUGGAAAUUAAUGGUAUCUAAAGUUAAUACUUAAGUAUUAAUGAGGAUAAAAUUAAUAACUAGGGCUAAGUCGUAACAAGGUAGCCGUAUCGGAAGAUGUGGCUGGAAAAUCUCUGUU
This 237-nucleotide ribosomal RNA is filed under the name Candidatus Shikimatogenerans bostrichidophilus. RNAcentral's name for it is "partial 16S ribosomal RNA". It matches the Rfam family "Bacterial small subunit ribosomal RNA", at positions 1286 to 1533 of the family's 1533-position model. The record is from RNAcentral. Lineage: Bacteria; Pseudomonadati; Bacteroidota; Flavobacteriia; Flavobacteriales.